RNAcentral lists this transfer RNA (83 nucleotides) under Candidatus Nanosalina sp. J07AB43. It matches the Rfam family "tRNA". Rfam says of the family: Transfer RNA (tRNA) molecules are approximately 80 nucleotides in length. Their secondary structure includes four short double-helical elements and three loops (D, anti-codon, and T loops). Further hydrogen bonds mediate the characteristic L-shaped molecular structure. tRNAs have two regions of fundamental functional importance: the anti-codon, which is responsible for specific mRNA codon recognition, and the 3' end, to which the tRNAs corresponding amino acid is attached (by aminoacyl-tRNA synthetases). tRNAs cope with the degeneracy of the genetic code in two manners: having more than one tRNA (with a specific anti-codon) for a particular amino acid; and 'wobble' base-pairing, i.e. permitting non-standard base-pairing at the 3rd anti-codon position. The record is from Rfam by way of RNAcentral. Lineage: Archaea; Methanobacteriati; Methanobacteriota; Candidatus Nanohaloarchaea.
GCCGGGAUUGCCGAGUGGUCAAAGGCGACGGACUUAAGAUCCGUUCCCGUAGGGGUUCCGGAGUUCGAAUCUCCGUCCCGGCA